Acinonyx jubatus (cheetah) is the source of this 7689-nucleotide long non-coding RNA. RefSeq lists it as uncharacterized. The record is from RefSeq and is a predicted model, not a curated record. The transcript has 5 exons. NCBI's taxonomy places the organism in Eukaryota, Metazoa, Chordata, Mammalia, Carnivora, Felidae.
UGCUCUGUCUCUCUCUUUGUCAAAAAUAAACAUUAAAAAAAUUUUUUUUUUUUUUAAUUUGGUGACUAGUACUAAGUUUCACUUAAAUGGUAGGCUGGAACCCAAAUCUUUCUUAUUCCAGAACUCAUGUUUUGUCCUCUACCUGAAACUUCCUCUAUUGUCACUUUGUACUAGUAUUCAUUCAUUCAUUCAUUCAUUCAUUCAUUCAUCCAACAAGAACUUAUUGGACCUCAUGUAUGCAGGAAUCAUACGGGUCUAGCCCGGAGAUAUAUCAGUCAGUAUUUGUUGACUGCCCGAUUACCAGUCCCUAAAAAGUGCUCUAGCAAGAAACAUUGGUUCUGAAAGAAUGAGACAUAGGAUAGCCCCCCUUUUGAUGGGGAAUAGAAGGUAAAGUCAAGAGAAGGACAGGGCAGUUGGAAUGGAAUGUUUGGUAGAUGGCUGUUGAAGUCUCCUCUUUGCUCUGUGCGUUCUCACGAGCGCAAGGGAGGAAAGGAGGAAAGUCCUAGAGAUGUUGGGCUUCUGAAAGAAAGAUGAGAGGUCUUCAAGACAACAUAGCGCAGUGAGUAGGAGUGCCGACUUGGGCAUCUCACAGUCCCGAAUUCAAAUCCUACGUCUGUGGUCUUGUCAAAUCGCUGAAGUGCUCAGAGCUCUGGUUUUCUCAUUGGAAAAUAGGAACAACAAUUCCUAACCUCAAAGCGUAUCAUGUGAGUUAAAUAUAUUUACUUACAACCCAUCAGACUCUUGGUACAGCAUUUGGAACAUAGCAAAUGCUCAGUGAGAGCUAUUCAUCAUAUUUGAUUAUCAUUUUGCCUGAUCCUCGAUAGUCUUGAGAAUUUUCAAAUAUUUAUGAGUAAUGUGCCAUACAAAGCUUUAGAAAUUUCCUCAAUGAAUCAAGAGUUCUUGCCUAAGGGGAGACUAUUUAAAAUGCAGCCUGACUUUCUAGAGGGAGAAAAAAAAAAAGACCUGAGCUUUCAUAUUUCCUUUUCCAUUCAGUGGUGGGAAAGGUUUUUCUUAGCUUGUUUGUCCUGAAACCAUGGAUACCGCAUAAAAAUAAAAGAACGUGACUGCCCUGGGAUUUGAGAUGCAUGUGGUAGUCAGAAAGCAUAAAUAAAUAUAUCUGAUAUGUUUCCAAUAUCUUUUCUUCUAAGGUAAAUGUGGAACCCAUCUCUCCUCAAGCCUUUUGCGGGGUCAUGGCACGCCCUCUGGUGGCCCAUCUCUUUCAAUGGCUUUGCCUGCCCCGAUGAGCAAUCUUUCAGAAGCCGUCUCCUGGACUUUCUGUGGCCGGAGGACCAUCUUCCCCAAGGGCAAAGCAGGCUGGGUUCGCUGCAGAGUUAACUUCCGAUUUCCCAGGAUUUUGUGAGCAUUCUGAUUGUGACCUCUUUACUAAACCCAGAAAUUUGUUUUUGACGUCUGCUGUGGGAAAAAAUCUUGAGACGUUAUUUCCCUCCACUGAUGCCACCAGUAAUUAGAUCCAAGAAUGCAUUUGGUCCAGGUUUUGAUAAUUCAGUGGAGCUAACAAACUGUAACGACUCAGAUAGGACCUUGCCCGCUGACCUCCCUCCUAGUCACUUCCAUGCACGCCCAAGCACCUGCCCACGGGCUCUGGCUCCAGGACUCCAUAGCUUAUCCUUUCCCGAAGCCUUCAUCCCAUAGAGCGGGCAUUUGGGAAUCGACGGCUGACCAUUAUGGUGCCACAAGAUGGAAAGACCCAGGGUCCCCGAAUGACCGCGUGAAGCCAAUUCUGCCACCAAACUGUGUUGAACAGAGACAUGAACGAGCAACGAACCUUUACUGCAUUAAUCCACAUUGGUUGUAUCUUAAAGCAGUUGGCAUAGCCUGCUUAAUAGAUUUCCUUUUUCUAUCCCUCAUCCCAGCAAAACGUUCUAGGUGGCCGGGACAGCUUGUGGACCGUGUGCUUAAAGAGAUGUCAGGGUAAGCGUUCCAUUUUGCUAGCCAAGCAUUCAAACGUCACCAAGAGACGAGGCUAGCCGGUGAGGUUCUGCCGAAAUGCUUCCAAGUCAGGGAAGCCCCUGCAUUUUUUGAGAAAUAAAAGGAAAAAUGAAGGUUGUCCUCCUGGUGCGUUCACACCGUGAGGUGUCACAGAGACCUUGAGACGUCUUAAUGUGGGCUUUGCCGGGUGACGAAAGUGAACACCCCCUUCUCUUCCACAAGUAUUUAUUGUGUGGUUAGCAUCAUGCCCCCCAUCUCGCCUCAGAAAGCAAGUCUGAGAAAUUCAAGAGUUGGCCCCAGACGCUGCCCCUCCACGCAGGGGGGACCUCAGAUGGCUCAUGACAAGUGAACUGCAGGAAUGUGUCAGCUACGCCAAUGUGAUGUCUCGGGUGGACGUCUACUGCCUGUAUUCAGGGAGCUUAAGUGUCUCUUGUAUCCAUUCCCUUCCCUUCCCGGGAGACUCCAUUAUUUCUUGGUACUCUUUCCAGACCUGUCACCCUUUCAUGGUGACCCAUUUGGUAUCACAUAGGUUCGCUAUUGAUGAGAACUGUUUUCAGUGUUGCAAGGAGGUCAAAAACAAACAGCAUUUCCCGGGUUAGAACAAAGAAGGCUUUGGCUUGAAUGAACUUUUGCUUAGUCACGAAGAACCCAGGGCCCGGCUCUGCUCUGGGGAUAAGAUGGCAGCCUAGGUUUCACUCCUGGUUCCACAGUUGGAUUUUGUGACUUUUACAACACACUGUUUCUCGGGGCGGAAGAGUCGCGAUGCAGUUUGAGGAGUUUUGAGUGACACGACUGAUGUAUUUCAGCCUCUUUUCCCUACUUCAAGCUCCCCCCCCCUUUUUUUAAAGUUUAUUCAUUUAUUUUGAGAGAGACAGAGAGAAAGAGUGCAAGUGGGAGAGGAGCAGAGACAGAGGGGGACAGAGGAUCGGAAGCGGGCUCUGUGCUGAGAGCAGACGGCCUGAUGAGGGGCUCGAACUCACAAGCCCGAGAUCCUGACCUGAGUCAAAGGCAGGUGCUUAACCGACUGAACCACCCUGGUGCCCCCCCCCCCCCAGCUUCAAGCUUUUAAACCUCUCUUUUUAAGCCUCUUCAACCCAAAGAAGGUUUCUUACUCUCUUAUGCAGACCUUGACCUUCGGCUUCCUGAGAAGCCACGCUCAGACCUGAUGUACCAAAUGUGUGUAUACAUUUUGUGUGCCUUUACUUUCUGAACUGUUGCAUGGUUUUCCAUGCUGCCGUCCCCUCUCUGUUCUUUUCCUUCGUUCUCCCCUCCGUUCUGACACUGUCUCGUUUUUCUUGUUCACUCUUCCAACCAAACCCCGUUAAGUCUAUGCUGGUUUGUUUUUUGUGUUUUGUUUUGUUUUUUUUUUUGUAACUUCUGGGCAAAGUGAAAACUCACCUAGAAAAGCUACCCACGUGAGUCUGGUGGUAACAGGAAAAAGACGCCACGGAGACAAGGAGUAAGUGAACACAGAAAACAGAUCGUACGGGCCGGUGGAAAUUCGGCUGGAGGUUUUCACGGCCUGUGCCUGUUUUUAGACGCGAAGGCAACGAAACAUCAAAUUUUUUCUUCAUCUUAGGGUUUCCCCCCACCCCAGCAUGAACCUUUAAUUGGCAGCCGUUUUCUUUGGGGAGUUAUUCAUGUACAUAUGUUUUUUGCGCGAUGCCCAUCUCAACGCGUAUCAUUUAGUAAGUGAAAUAGGGUGUGCAGCUGCUACAGGGGCAUGUUUUCUACCUAAAAAAAAAAGUUAGGAAAAAAGUAGUGAGGUAGUGGGAGUUGGCCGAGGUACACGUGUACUUCCUGCGAAGGGUUCCGCGUCCUUGACUCUUCACCCAGCUCAAGCCUUGGCACCGAAUGUGCUACAGAAGGUGUCUAAUGACCGGAGACCGUUAGGUUUCCAAGUGACCUUUCUGAGCCUCCUGUCUCACACUCUCGGGAUACAGACCAGGAAUCUCAACCCAAGAGAGGAUGCAGACUUCACUGGUAUGGGGACAGAGCUGCGAGGAGAAAACAGCCACUGGGGCUCCUCGCUCGGUGUUCUUCUCAAGCCUGAGAGGAAGGAGGGACAGAAGGCGGAUGGGAUUGAGGAAGCAACGAAGCAACAGGAAAAGAGAGCCCAAGCUCCGGGAAAGGGAAGAUGGUCCAGGAGAGAAAGAAAGGGACUUGGGGCUGAGGUGCCCAAGCCUUUGCUAACCUGAAAAGUAAACUCAAAGUUAGAGAUCAGAGGGUCCCCAGGGGGGAACCGGUCCUCUGAAAUGAGCAUCUCACAUUGUACAGGGGAGUCGGCGAAGCAUUUGGUUUGUCUGCUUAGAAAGGAAGUUUCUAGAAAGAGAAGGCAUUGUGAUGUUAAGAUGACCCUUCAGAAGCUGUGAAGGCUGUAGUCUCUACUCUCCUACCGUUUGAUGCCCCUGGAGGCUAGGCAUGCCUUCCAUGUGGAUGCUUGAGCGGUUUUUUUCUAGUUGGAGAAUUAAUGGCAGACCAAGUUGCUAGAUCUACCCACGGCCGAUCAAUGCUUCGCAGAUUCCCUCUGGCCAUCCUUUCUGGAUCUCCCUUAGAUAUCACUAAUGAAAAAGUCAAAUACGCGUUGAGCAACCUAGAAGAACCCACACUUCCUCAUUUCAUAGAGAGGUCCAGAACGGAAUUGUAACUAGCCCUCAAUCCCCCAUAGCUUAGAAGAAUGUAUCCAAUGUGGUACCACAAUCACCCUAAAACAUAGCGGGCAGGAUAGUCUCACCAAAAUGGCUGCGACCAGGCCGCUUUAUCCCUGUACGUGCACGCUGCCCUGCAAAAUGUAGGGUGUAUUUCCCCUCCCCUUGAACCCAGUUGCUCCUGUGACUGCUGUAACCAAUAGAAUGAAGCAGAAGUAGCAUUCUAGAACUUCCACGCUCAGUACCAAAGUUCCAGUUCCCCCCUCCUGGACGCCAGCUGCCGUGUAAGGAGUCUGACCCCCUUGCUGAAAAGACCACAUGCUUUGGAAGCCACAUGGAAAGAGACAUGGGGCACAGAUGUGUGAGUGAAGCCUUCUCAGACCUUCCAGCAGCUGGCUGGUUGCAGCCAGGUGAGUGACACUAGCCGGUGCCCAGCUGACUCAGAUUCAUGAGAAAUAGUAAAUGGAGGUUGCUUUUGGGUUUUGGUUUUGGGGUGGCUUGUCAUGCAGUGAUGGAGGACUGAAGCGACCGCUUAAAAGCGGCACCAUGCAUUAUUUUUCACGGACCUGGGAGUCGGGGGCGGAGGGGUGGUUCUGCAGAUCUAGACCGAGCCUGGCCAACCUCAUCUGGACCUGCCUGGGCCUCUGCAGCCUGUGGAGGGCUCGCCAGUCAAGGAUGGCCUCAGCCGUGAUGACUCAUCUCUGUAGCACAGGGUCUUUUAUCCUUUAAUGGAGUUGUCCCGCGGCGGUGGCAGAGUGCCAAGAACAAGAGCAAAAAUGCACAAAUUUUUUAACAAAUAAACUUUUCAGGGGGUGCCUGGGUGGCUCCGUUGGUUGAGCAUCAGACUUCGGCUCAGGUCACGAUCUCACGGUUUGUGGGUUGGAGCCCGGCGUGGGGCUCUGUGCUGAUGGCUCAGAGCCUGGAGCCUGCUUGGGAUUCCGUGUCUCCCUGUGUCUCUUGCCCCUCCCUCGCUCGUACUCUGUCCCUCUCAAAAAUAAACAUUAAAAAAAUUGUUUUAAAUAACAAACUUUUCAAGAACAGUUUUAGAUUCACAAAACAACUGAGGGGAAGGUGCAGACAUUUCCCGUAUCUUCCCUGCCUGUCCCCCACAUGCUGAGCCGCCCCCCUGUAUUAACACCCCCCCACCAAGAGUGGUACCUUUGCUAUGGUUGGUGGACCUACGUUGACACAUCAUUAUCAGCCAAAGGUCACAGUUAGGAAUGUGUGCUGUACAGUUUAUGGUUCGGACAAAUGUAUAAUGACAAGUAUCCACCACUGUAGUAUCGAAACAGAGUAGUUUCACUGCCCUAGGAAUCCUCCUUGCUCUACUCUUCAAACCUCCUCACCUCCAACUCCUGGAAACCACCAAUCUUUUUCCUAUCUCCAUAGUUUUGCCUUUUCCAGAAUGCUGUAUGACCGGAAUCAAACAAUAUGUAGCCUUUUCAGAUUGGCUUCUUUCACUUAGCAAUAUGUAUUUAGAUUUCCCCUUGUUCUUCUCCUAGCUUGAUAGCUCAUUUCUUUUUAGCCUUAAACAACAUUCCACUGUCUGGAUGUGCCAGUUCGUUUAUCUGUUCAUCUACUAAUGAACCUCUCGGUUACUUCCAAAUUUUGUCCAAAUUAUGAAUAAAGCUGCUAAAAACUCUGUGUGUAGGUGUUUGUUUUUGUUUUUUUCAGGAUGCUAUAUUUUUAAAUGUAAUUUAUUGUCAAGUUGGCUAACUUACAGACUAUACAGUGUGUUCUUGGUUUUGGGGGUAGAUUCCUGUAAUUCACUGCUUACAUACAACACCCAGUGCUCAUCCCAACAAGUGCCCUCCUCAAUGCCCAGCACCCAUUUUCCCCUCUUUCCCCCAGUCAACCCUCAGUUUGUGCUCUGUAUUCAAGAGUGCCUCGUGGUUUGCCCCCGUUUCUGUUUGUGACUAUUUUUCCCCCUUCCCUCCCCCCACGGUCUUCUGUUAAGUUUCUCAAGUUCCACAUAUGAGUGAAAACAUGGUAUCUGUCUUUCUCUGACUGACCUCUCUCGCUCGGCAAAAUACCCUCCAGUUCCACCCACAUUACUGCAAAUGGCAGGGUUUCAUUCUUUCUCAUCGCCAAGUAGUAUUCCAUUGUGUAUAUAAACCACAUCUUCUUUAUCCAUUCAUCAGUUAGUGGACAUUUAGGCUCUUUCCAUGACUUGGCUGUUGUUGAAAGUGCUGCUAUAAACAUUGGAGUACAUGUGCCCUUGUGUCCUUUGGAUAAAUUCCUAGUAGUGCUAUUGCUGGGUCAUAGGGUCGUUCUAUCUUUGAUUUUUUGAGGAGCCUCCACACUGUCAUGUAGGUUUUUAUAUGGAACUAAGUUUUCAGCUCCUUUGGGUAAGGACCAAAGAACAGGACGGCUGGAUCAUACAGAAAGAGUGUGCUUCAUUUUGCAAGACACUGUCAACUGUCUUUGAAAGUGGCUGUACUGCUCUGCGUCCCCACUAGUAAUGACUCAGAGUUCCUGUUGCUCUACAUCCUCGCUAGUGUUUGGGACCAUCAGCGUUCUUCCGUCAGAAAUUCGAAUAGGUACGUAGAGCUAUCUCGUUGCACGAACAAUUUUCAAGGCUUCGCUUACAUUAAGGCUACGGAUGUUCUACUGGCCAAAGUAAAUCGUACAGGUGAGCCCAAGGUGGGAGGGGACUACAAAAUUGAAGAGAAAGGGCCUGGAUAAAAGGAGGCCAUUAAUUGGAACCAUUAAGGCAUCAAAUCUACCAUAAGGAAUCUGUGCAUAUUUCUCACAGGGGAGUAUUAAAGGGCAGUAAGAUGUUGGACUAAAACCUAGAAGCAACUAGAAAAGUCACAUUUGAAAUUAGGUAAAACAAUUAGAUGAGCGCUUUCUAAUUUUUAAAUGUUUCCAAGCUUUCUGCCAAGUCGCUCUUGCUCUGAUAUUGAUGUUGUUUUAUUUCCAUUAGAGGGUGACGUUCCCCAAUUUCUGUUGAUAUCUACGGAGAGACAGAAUUGGGAAGAAAUGCACGUCUCAUGUAGGACCAAUCACUAUGCGGUCCCUUGUUCCAUGAAUUAAUUCACAGUAAUGAUAAUGUUAAGACUCUUGGCAGAGUUCCUUAGAAUCCUGUUUA